GUAGUACUCUCUCCAUCUUAAAAAACUUGUCCCUCAAAUGAAUGUAUCUAGAAUCAAGUUAAUGCUAGAUACAUCCAUUUGAAAGACAAGCUUGAGACAAGCUUUUUCGGAUGGAGGGAGUAGUAG
This is a non-coding RNA of Triticum aestivum (bread wheat), 126 nucleotides long. The record is from Rfam. Lineage: Eukaryota; Viridiplantae; Streptophyta; Magnoliopsida; Poales; Poaceae.